Long non-coding RNA from Protopterus annectens (West African lungfish), 2064 nucleotides. RefSeq lists it as uncharacterized. The record is from RefSeq and is a predicted model, not a curated record. The transcript has 2 exons. NCBI's taxonomy places the organism in Eukaryota, Metazoa, Chordata, Ceratodontiformes, Protopteridae.
CUUAAUAGAAGGCAGACAUAUGAGCAAGCAAAUAAGAUUUUUGAGAAAGCCAUGAAACUGGAACAAGAGUUUGGUGAAUAUUUUACAGCCAUUGUACAAGGAGAUUCACUGGAAGAGAUCUACAACAAAAUCAAAUUAAUCAUAGAAGAGCAUUCUGGUCCCUUUAUCUGGAUCUCAUCUCCAGAAAGACUCUGAAAUAACAGACUUUUUCCAGCCACCUCAUAUCUUGUGAGAAGCAGAUGCUCAAAACCUAAAAUCAAGAAAAUAAACUGACAAACAUUCAACCCCUACUUUUUUUUUUGAUAUGUUGCAUAUCAAGUUCCAUGGUCAUCAUUCUGUUCUUCUGACAAUAUCAAUGUGACUGUGCCCAUUCCUGCAUGAUGUUUUCUGCAGCUCCAUCAAGGACUUGGAAUAUCUCAUUCAGAAUUCUUUUCCAUUGCUUUCAUCUUUUGUAAACAGAAACCAUGGAUGGACAGACAGACGAGAGGACAGCUGUACAAAAUUAUUUCAUUUUUUUUUUGUUGUUGUUGUUUUUGGUGGGGUGAGGCAACAAGGCCAUAUAUACAGUUUGCAUUAAAGCAGAAACCCAGAGGUAUAAUAUAUAAAAUUGUGAAAGGUUUCUAUAAGUUUGUAUAAUUAUAUUACAGACCUGGAAAGUUAAAAACUAAGAAAAAUUUUUUAUAUAUUAAGAACAGUGAAUGGUUGGGACUUAAAUGGUACUACUAUCACUACAGUGAUCUUUAAAUUACUUUGUUAUUUAAAUCAAUGUAAUGCAAAGACAGAAUGGUACAAAAAGCUUUGGAGUGAACCACUACAAUAUUUUGGGAUGUAAAGCUAGCAUUAGUGCUGGCCUGUCUGCACGGAAGCCAUCAUCUUGGAGGCAGAAGCCAUGAAAUGGAAGAUAAUGUUUAUUUAGAUUUAAAAAAAGUCCUAGUGAUAUUAUGGAGAAAUAAUUUUAUUACAUAUUAAAUUGUACAUUGUUUUACACACCAACAAACACGUCUGCAUGGAGGACUUUUUUGUUUUCCCAUUUCUGAGUUUUGCAUAAGUAAUGGUUAAAUAUAUUUUACAGUUUUUAGUCAAGCUGUGAGAUGCAAAGUUUCUCAGCAGUGACUGUCCCUAGUUUUCAAAUAUUUGCAAUGACUGGCCAAUGCUUUACAGGCUAAUGUGUUAUAUACUACUACAGAAGAGGGCUCAUCAGUUCUAACCAGCAGGAUCCAUGAUUCAGGAAAGUGUCAGAGGCAAGCAGUGCAGGCACAACUUUGGUUCAAUAAUGUAAAGACCACCCAUACCCUGUAACCUUGCUUCACUUGUCACCCAAGAGCUAAAAGACAGGGCAUUAACAGAUUUUUUUUUCCUUUUAAUACACAGAUUGACAAGUGAAGGUAAGGCACAACCAUUUUUGUACCAAAACAGUGCACUGUUUUAUAUAGCCAGGCCAGCAGUUUUAUUUUUUCCUUCUUUUGCAUGGAUAACUGUUUUGAAUAGUACAUUUGAAGCAUUUACACAGUAAAACUAUAACAUCUGUUUACUUUGCAAGAAACCUAAGAAAAAUCAAUUGCCUGGGUUGCUGCUGAGACAAAAGUAUAACUGAAUAAUUUUGGAUUAGUCUUCCUUAGCUUCUGAAUUAGUCUGGUUAAUGUAAUGCUGCUACAUACUUUAAAUCACAAGAAAGAAUGCCUGCUGGAGUAACAAUCUGGGAUGAUGCAUUAUUUUUAGCAGAACUGUUUACUGUUCAACACAAGGUUCAGGCAAAAUUAGCUAACACACUGAAAAUAAUUUUCUUCAAUGCCUUGCAAACUCUGAAACUAAGAGUGAUUUCUUUAAGUAUAAAUAAAUGGCAGAAAUGCGAGUGCUUAGGGCAGUAUUGAAUCUAGAAAGCAAAGGAUCCGAACCCUGUAUUUGUUUUCAGAUCAAACCUUUACUGCACAUUUUUUACAAGUCUAUUUUUUCUUAGCCAGUCUAGUUUUAAAGUGCAAAUAUUGUAGUGGAGUGGUCUAUUAAUGCCAUACUCCUAAUGGUUGACUCAAGAGCGAGUGAAAUAAAACAUGUACUUGUCCCUUC